UACGUAGGUGGCAAGCGUUGUCCGGAUUUACUGGGCGUAAAGAGCGCGCAGGCGGCUGGUCAAGUCCGAUGUGAAAUCUCCCGGCUUAACUGGGAAACUGCAUCGGAAACUGAUCGGCUUGAAGGUGGGAGAGGGUAGUGGAAUUCCCGGUGUAGUGGUGAAAUGCGUAGAUAUCGGGAGGAACACCAGUGGCGAAGGCGACUACCUGGCCCAUUCUUGACGCCGAGGCGCGAAAGCUAGGGGAGCGAACGGG
RNAcentral lists this ribosomal RNA (253 nucleotides) under uncultured bacterium. RNAcentral's name for it is "partial 16S ribosomal RNA". It matches the Rfam family "Bacterial small subunit ribosomal RNA", at positions 524 to 776 of the family's 1533-position model. The record is from RNAcentral.